CUACGGGAGGCAGCAGUGGGGAAUUUUGGACAAUGGGGGCAACCCUGAUCCAGCCAUUCCGCGUGAGUGAAGAAGGCCUUCGGGUUGUAAAGCUCUUUCGGCCGGGAAGAAAUCGUGCGGGCCAAUACCCUGUAUGGAUGACGGUACCGGAAGAAGAAGCACCGGCUAACUACGUGCCAGCAGCCGCGGUAAUACGUAGGGUGCGAGCGUUAAUCGGAAUUACUGGGCGUAAAGGGUGCGCAGGCGGUUUUGUAAGUCAGAUGUGAAAUCCCCGGGCUUAACCUGGGAAUUGCGUUUGAAACUACAAGACUAGAGUGUGGCAGAGGGAGGUGGAAUUCCGAGUGUAGAGGUGAAAUGCGUAGAGAUGUGGAGGAACACCGAUGGCGAAGGCAGCCCCCUGGGUCGACACUGACGCUCAUGCACGAAAGCGUGGGGAGCAAACAGGAUUAGAAACCCGUGUAGUCC
RNAcentral lists this ribosomal RNA (465 nucleotides) under uncultured bacterium. RNAcentral describes it as "bacterial SSU rRNA". It matches the Rfam family "Bacterial small subunit ribosomal RNA", at positions 339 to 796 of the family's 1533-position model. The record is from RNAcentral.